RNAcentral lists this non-coding RNA (87 nucleotides) under Lactococcus hircilactis. RNAcentral's name for it is "Purine riboswitch". It matches the Rfam family "Purine riboswitch aptamer", at positions 1 to 91 of the family's 102-position model. From Rfam's summary of the family: Riboswitches are metabolite binding domains within certain messenger RNAs that serve as precision sensors for their corresponding targets. Allosteric rearrangement of mRNA structure is mediated by ligand binding, and this results in modulation of gene expression. Lineage: Bacteria; Bacillati; Bacillota; Bacilli; Lactobacillales; Streptococcaceae. The record is from RNAcentral.
AAAAAUUUAAAUUAAAUACUUAUUUAUACCCAGAAUAUGGCUGGGCGUUUCUACCUCGUCACCGCAAAUACGAGACAAUAAGCACAC